UAUGAAAUCAUGUCCAUGAAAGAAGAAGAGAGAUAUGGAGGGGAAAGCAAUGAGGCUUCGAGAAGGUCCUCCACGCCUAUGUGCAGAUCACGCAUUGCCUCCAACAGCAAUUUAUGUGUUCAACCACAAUAGAGGAAAAAGCUUUGCUAUCUUUAUACUCUUAGCCAUUACUCAAAUGGAACAGAGAGCUUUUAGUGGCAGAGCUCUUAUAUUUAGGAUUUUGGUUCUAUAUUUAGUAACUUGCAGCAAAGUAAGUUAAGGACU
Molecule: long non-coding RNA, 264 nt
Filed under: Physcomitrium patens
Lineage: Eukaryota; Viridiplantae; Streptophyta; Bryopsida; Funariales; Funariaceae
Description: long non-coding RNA (PPAT_LNC011438)
Source: RNAcentral